RNAcentral lists this ribosomal RNA (468 nucleotides) under uncultured bacterium. RNAcentral's name for it is "partial 16S ribosomal RNA". It matches the Rfam family "Bacterial small subunit ribosomal RNA", at positions 28 to 507 of the family's 1533-position model. The record is from RNAcentral.
GACGAACGCUGGCGGCGUGCUUAACACAUGCAAGUCGAACGGAAAGGCCCUGCUUUUGUGGGGUGCUCGAGUGGCGAACGGGUGAGUAACACGUGAGUAACCUGCCCUUGACUGUGGGAUAACUUCAGGAAACUGUGGCUAAUACCGGAUAGUAGCUCCUGCUGCAUGGUGGGGGUUGGAAAGUUUCGGCGGCUUGGGGAGGACUCGCGGCUUAUCAGCUUGUUGGUGGGGUUGUGGCGUACCAACGCUUUGACGGGUAGCCCGACUGGGAGGGUGACCCGGCCCAGUGGGCUAUGGGAUGCGGCAGUAGCUACUCCGGGGGGAAGGAGGGGAGUAUGUCCCAGAAAGGCCGAAAGCGUGAAGAAGGAUCUCGGAGUGGGGAAUGCUGUCGUUAGGGUUGAAAGCGUGUUAGGCUGGAAAGGACGCAUGGUGACGGUAAAUGGCCAAAAAGGGACGGCUAACUACGUG